Molecule: ribosomal RNA, 930 nt
Filed under: Aplosporella artocarpi
Lineage: Eukaryota; Fungi; Ascomycota; Dothideomycetes; Botryosphaeriales; Aplosporellaceae
Description: partial large subunit ribosomal RNA
Rfam family: Eukaryotic large subunit ribosomal RNA
Source: RNAcentral
CCGGAGAAAUAUAUACAUUCAUUAGCGGAGGAAAAGAACCCACCAGGGAUUGCCUCAGUAACGGCGAGUGAAGCGGCAACAGCUCAAAUUUGAAAUCUGGCCCUUUCAGGGUCCGAGUUGUAAUUUGUAGAGGAUGCUUCGGCGAGGGCUCCCGUCUAAGUUCCCUGGAACGGGACGUCAUAGAGGGUGAGAAUCCCGUAUGUGAUGGGUUGCUCGAGCCAUGUGAAGCUCCUUCGACGAGUCGAGUUGUUUGGGAAUGCAGCUCUAAAUGGGAGGUAAAUUUCUUCUAAAGCUAAAUACCGGCCAGAGACCGAUAGCGCACAAGUAGAGUGAUCGAAAGAUGAAAAGCACUUUGGAAAGAGAGUUAAAAAGUACGUGAAAUUGUUGAAAGGGAAGCGCUUGCAACCAGACUUGUCCGCAGUUGUUCAGCCGGUCUCCUGACCGGCGUACUCUUCUGCGGCCAGGCCAGCAUCAGUUCGGGCGGCUGGAUAAAGGCCUCGGGAAUGUGGCUCUCUUCGGGGAGUGUUAUAGCCCGGGGCGGAAUGCAGCCAGCCUGGACUGAGGAUCUCGCUUCGGCAAGGAUGCUGGCGUAAUGGUUGUAAGCGGCCCGUCUUGAAACACGGACCAAGGAGUCUAACAUCUAUGCGAGUGUUUGGGUGUCAAACCCAUACGCGUAAUGAAAGUGAACGGAGGUGGGAACCCGCAAGGGCGCACCAUCGACCGAUCCUGAUGUCUUCGGAUGGAUUUGAGUAAGAGCAUAGCUGUUGGGACCCGAAAGAUGGUGAACUAUGCCUGAAUAGGGUGAAGCCAGAGGAAACUCUGGUGGAGGCUCGCAGCGGUUCUGACGUGCAAAUCGAUCGUCAAAUUUGGGUAUAGGGGGCGNAAAGACUAAUCGAACCAUCUAGUAGCUGGUCUCGCAAAAUCCCCCCC